Oncorhynchus masou masou (cherry salmon) is the source of this 969-nucleotide long non-coding RNA. RefSeq lists it as uncharacterized. Lineage: Eukaryota; Metazoa; Chordata; Actinopteri; Salmoniformes; Salmonidae. The transcript has 3 exons. The record is from RefSeq and is a predicted model, not a curated record.
AGAUGGCACCGCAGGCAGGUUGGAUCAAUCCUUAUUUGGAUGGCUUGCAUUUCUUCAUAAGGAAGCUCCUCUUGUUUGUUUUUGCCCUCUCUCUGGCAUUUUUAAUUUUCUUGCUUUCCCCCUCAUCAUGGGACUGGGAUGAUCUGACUAGUGGCUAUGAUUUCUCCUUGCUGGUGUACGAGAUGACAAAGAGUGAGGUCUUUUCCGAUUCCCCGGGAAACUCAAGCUCUCUCCGAGUGAAGAUUUAAAGAGGGAGAGACACCGCCUAAAUGUAGCUUGAUGAUGGCCUGCGAAACAAAUGUGAGGAUGUAUACCUUGUGCCGGGUGCAGGAUUCUAUCAGGGCGAACCGGAGUGUAGAAGACCCUAAGAUGGUGGAGCAGCUCUUAAACCAGGGCAGGGAUAACCUAGACAUCAACCAAAGACAGGUGACCAUAGGUAAGCUGUACCUGACCCAGAAGACUAUCGUUGAGGGGUAGGGGUCAAAGAGGAGCCUCUGAUGGGCAUUGGGGCAGUAAUGGACUGCCUUAAAACGAUUGGAAACGAUGUCUAAGAGACCAUGGCAGACGGAGCACUGAACCUCAACCUAACUUCACCUUCCACACGGAAGCUUAAUUUCCCGCAACCUUUGGAUGGAUAUGGGGGAAAGCAUUGUGGGAGGCAACUAGAUUCAAAGAAUAAUACAGAUCUACGAGGUGGGAAUAGGGAAGAGGUGAGGGGUUGGUUGAUUUCGGACUGGGCAACUGUCCUGCGUCGAUUACAUAACUAUUGUUCUUGGUCACUAUAUACCCUCUCUUCACCAUAGUAUAUUUCGCUAUUCACGUUUCUUUUGUGAGCCGUAACAGUGCAACAGAGAGCGUACAGACAGCCUUGAUUUCUUUGUUAUAUUUUUGCCAGUCUUUUAAUUGUGUAUUGUAUGUAUGAUUUGUCGUCAUGUAAGAUGGUGUAUAAAUGGAUUAAAGAUAUGCAUA